Molecule: long non-coding RNA, 546 nt
Organism: Patiria miniata (bat star)
Lineage: Eukaryota; Metazoa; Echinodermata; Asteroidea; Valvatida; Asterinidae
Exons: 3
Source: RefSeq, a predicted model, not a curated record
CAUGUCAAGAAAUAUAAACAAAAUAGCCGACUUAAUUGAACUUUGUGGCCUUUUUAUGAAAACAAAUUAUUUGUCAGCACGCCAAAGCUGUGACGCUAGCCAAUCACACGGCGCGUAAUUUGUUCUACAUUCCAAGGUUGUGACGCUGGCCAAUCAGUUUUCAUGUACACUCUUUGAAUCAUGAUAUGGCGCGCAAGCAUAUGACCGUUACAUAUUUCGACAUCAUACUGCAGUUGUGUGGACGUGUAACGUGCAGCCGACAUCAUUUUACUCAAAUAACAGAAGAGUUUACAAGACCUCACAGAUGACGAAACCCCACUCAGCAAUGAUUCAUACAGGAAUUUAGGAGGAGCCAAAGUCAGCAUGGAUUGUCGAACCAGUAUGGAGGAGUUAUGUAUGACUUUCCAGGAUACUUCAGUUUGAAAGCUUUCGGACAGUACUCGCAGUGCCGUAGCUGGUGCAUGACCAAGUGAUUGAAGACAGUUCAACAAUGAUGGGCAGAGUGGAACUGAAAGAAAGCAGAUGAGGAGACGGACGUUUUCAGUU